ACAAUGGAGAGUUUGAUCCUGGCUCAGGAUGAACGCUAGCGGCAGGCUUAACACAUGCAAGUCGAGGGGC
RNAcentral lists this ribosomal RNA (70 nucleotides) under Alistipes sp. Its description in RNAcentral is "partial 16S ribosomal RNA". It matches the Rfam family "Bacterial small subunit ribosomal RNA", at positions 1 to 70 of the family's 1533-position model. The record is from RNAcentral. Lineage: Bacteria; Pseudomonadati; Bacteroidota; Bacteroidia; Bacteroidales; Rikenellaceae.